RNAcentral lists this long non-coding RNA (896 nucleotides) under Pogona vitticeps (central bearded dragon). RNAcentral's name for it is "lncRNA (ENSPVIG00000011611.1)". The record is from RNAcentral. Lineage: Eukaryota; Metazoa; Chordata; Lepidosauria; Squamata; Agamidae.
CCCUCCUCCUCCUCCUCCUCUCAAUCUUUUUCUCUCUGUCUCUUUUGUUUUCCAGAUUAUUCAGGAUGGGGCAUUGAAUUAAUAAAUGAGAUCCAUUUCAAGCCAUAAAAGGGAGCAUGGGUGUUGUUGUCAUACAAUAGAUUUGAAGCAGGGAUCUGAAACUACCUGCAAAACAUACAGCAUAUUAAUCUUCUUCUGAAGUUGCAAUUCAUUUGGAGGGUUCAAAGAGUAUUUGAUAGUAGGUUGGCAGAGAACUUCAUCACUCUUCGGCCGAAGCCAAGGUUUAUGGAAAGCUCUGCUGGGAUGAGUGACAGGCACGUGGGAGAAGGAGGGAGAGGCUACGGGGUGACGUUUCCUGUUCAGGAAAAGACGAACGGCUGUUCUGGCACCUGUUAGUCCAUCCUGGCAUGUAAAGUAAGAUUCGUCCCAUUGUGUGUGUGUGUGUGUGUGUGUGUGUGUGUGUGUGUGUGUGUGUGUGUGUGUGUGUGUGUGUGUGUGUGUGUGUGUGUGUGUGUGUGAGAGAGAGAGAGAGAGAGAGAGAGAGAGAGAGAGUCUCAUACUAAUCUUAAAAGGCAUGUCUUCAGUGUUUUUAGUCACCAAAAAAAUACAUUAGUCUGUUUAAAACUAUUGCUGUAGUUAAUACAUUUUAAUUUUUGUCUGGCUUCAUCUCAGGUUUAUAUAAAUUUCACUGAAAACAUCUAAAAGAACAUUUGUGGCCACAAGAGAAGGAGCUUUCAAGAACAUUUUAUCAACUUUGUUUUCCUGUUCAAAAUACCUUUUUGAAAUACUUAGUUGCCCGCAAUUAAAAGAAUGCUCAAAUUAAAUCUCUCCUGACUUUUUUCUAAGCAGAUUUUUUUUUCAAUAAAAAAAGCUGCUUUGAAUUGUUUGUGAAUGUU